RNAcentral lists this long non-coding RNA (1651 nucleotides) under Monodelphis domestica (gray short-tailed opossum). RNAcentral describes it as "lncRNA (ENSMODG00000050896.1)". Lineage: Eukaryota; Metazoa; Chordata; Mammalia; Didelphimorphia; Didelphidae. The record is from RNAcentral.
CCCCAAGAUGCUUAAUUCUGGAAGCUUGUAUUCUCUACUGUGUUAAGGGAACCCCUUCCACCCAAGAUCAUAAACUUUCUGCUCCUCCGAGGUAGUCCAUUUGCCACCGAGAACUAGGGGUUACCAUCGGGGUCAGAGACUUUGAUUGCUUCCUGAGAGGAGGUAGACCAGCGCAGAGAGAAAGGACCUGGAGAAGGAGGACUUUAAAAAUGAGACCCUGGAGGAGAUUAUUUCUUUUCUCUGGAGGUCUUUGGCUGGGUGUGAAGACACUCUCAAAAGGUUCCUCUACAGUCUCAUUUUUAAAGUCCCCUGUCGUUUCCCUCUGUGCUGGUCUACCACCUCUCAGGAACCAAUCAAAGUCUCUCUGACCCGGAUGGUAACCUCUACUUCCGGGUCGCUAAUGGCUUGGAGGAGCAGAAAGUUUAUGAUCCGGUGAGGAAGGGGUUCCCUUUAGGCUCUACUCUGAUGCCUUUUUAACCUCUCUGGCCUCUCAGUCACUCAAGACUUACCAUUAUAUGCUUCCAUCUUUUAUUUUUGUACAAAACUGAUCCUGUUAAUAUUGGCCUCAUUCAGCAGUAAGCAAGGAAACAAGUGCCCAAGCAAAUGGGAAGUAGGGUCUAGUCUUCUUGGGAGGAAAACUAUAUGCCCUAAUUAGGACUUUCAGGAACAAGUAUGAUGCAGUUAGGCAUGCCUGAGAAGAGAAGCCCAAUCUCAAGGCUUUGCUCACCCAGCAUGUGAAGACUGCUUCAGCGGAACAGGUGGAAGAAACCAACAAGAAGGUUCAACGGCUGAGAGGGCGACACAGCAAAGCACUGUGGAGUGCUUAGGGCGUGUUGGAGCACAAAGGACAACAUGGCCACCCGAUGCAGCUGAGGAAGUCUCCAGACGUAACAAUUUUUUCGUGCCACUGGACCCAGGCUUCCAACGCCGAGAGAGUGGGACUGUCUCUGUGCAUCGACUUUUCCACUUAAAUCUUCAUGCACAAGUGUCUUUGUGCACAAAAACACACAAAGACAAUUUUCAUCCUCGGUUACCGAGAGACUACUACUACUAUUAUUAAUGGUAUGUAAUAAUCUUUCAUAUUGUUGCUGAUGGCUUAUAAUUCUUUUUAAAUUGCUCAGAUACAUUAAUCAAUAAUCUAUUUAGCAAUUACUAUUGGUUUUAUAUAUUUUUGUUAAUUCCCCCUAUAUCUUUCAUGCCAGACUCACUUAAUUCAAAGUUUCAUUCCUUCCCCAAAACCUUUUGUAAUAACUUGUCAAGAUCUGUAAUUUUGUCAUUUUGGAGAAACUUAUCAAUGCCAAUUAUUGACUAUUCUGUUAUUUAUAAUCUUAUAGAAUUGCUCAGAGCAUUAAGAGGUUAAAUGAUUUACCCAGAAUCAUAAAAUAGAUAUUGUCAGAGAAGGUUCUUGAACCUAAAUCAUCUUUAAACUCUAAACUAUUCUGCCUUUCUAAAUAUUAUGUGGUCAAAUUUAUGUCUUCUAUUUUUUGUUAAUUUUUCAUCAUCUUGGAUAAGAAUUUUUCACCUAGUCACAAGUACAAAAUAUAUCAUCUCAGAAAAAGCAAUCUAUAUAUAUGCCAAAAUAUUCAUAGCAUUACUUUUAAAAAUACAAAUUAGUAGAAUGUCCUUUGGAAAAUGAUUAAAAAUAUAGAAG